CAGUCGCCGCGGGAAUACGAAGGGUGCAAGCGUUACUCGGGAUUACUGGGCGUAAAGCGUGCGUAGGUGGUGGUUUAAGUCCGUUGUGAAAGCCCUGGGCUCAACCUGGGAAUUGCAGUGGAUACUGGGUCACUAGAGUGUGGUAGAGGAUAGUGGAAUCUCCGGUGUAGCGGUGAAAUGCGUAGAGAUCGGAAGGAACAUCUGUGGCGAAGGCGACUAUCUGGGCCAACACUGACACUGAGGCACGAAAGCGUGGGGAGCAAACAGGAUUAGAUACCCCUGUAGUCCCUGUCUCUUAUAC
RNAcentral lists this ribosomal RNA (301 nucleotides) under uncultured bacterium. Its description in RNAcentral is "partial 16S ribosomal RNA". It matches the Rfam family "Bacterial small subunit ribosomal RNA", at positions 509 to 807 of the family's 1533-position model. The record is from RNAcentral.